RNAcentral lists this small RNA (420 nucleotides) under Pongo abelii (Sumatran orangutan). Its description in RNAcentral is "retained intron". The record is from RNAcentral. Lineage: Eukaryota; Metazoa; Chordata; Mammalia; Primates; Hominidae.
UGGUAGUGGAGCUCAUUGAGAAGAAUUUGGAGACCCCCUUGUGCAAAAAUGGUUUUCUUCUGGAUGGCUUCCCUCGGACUGUGAGGCAGGCAGAAAUGCUCGAUGACCUCAUGGAGAAGAGGAAAGAGAAGCUUGAUUCUGUGAUUGAAUUCAGCAUCCCAGACUCUCUGCUGAUCCGAAGAAUCACAGGAAGGCUGAUUCACCCCAAGAGUGGCCGUUCCUACCACGAGGAGUUCAACCCUCCAAAAGAGCCCAUGAAAGAUGACGUAUGUAAACUCAGGACAAAAAAUUUCCUUUUCUUUCCUUCCCCUUUCUUCAGUUUUCUUUUUCCUUUAUUCUUUCCAUCUUCCUUUUAUUUCUACCAAUAUUACUAAUUUAGUCAUGAAAAAUAACACUAUCAAGUAAAUCACAUGGCCUGUG